Non-coding RNA from Paramuricea clavata, 1638 nucleotides. The record is from the annotation of a GenBank genome assembly. Lineage: Eukaryota; Metazoa; Cnidaria; Anthozoa; Malacalcyonacea; Plexauridae.
AAAUAAUAAAGUGGGGCGCAUCAGGUCGCAAUGUGACUCAAUGGGUUAACUAGACACAUGAUCAGAUAGGCCAGUUAACCCAUUAAGCGCCAGCGCUCUCCCCUUGACGAGUAAAAUCGUCUGGCGUUAGACAGAAUAAAAUAAUAAAGUGGGGAGCAUCAGGGCGCAUUGCGACUCAAUGGGUUAAAGACGUGCGUAUAAAAUAGUAAUGCAACACGUUUUGUCUUCAGAUGGAUGGAAGUCAUAUGCAGUGCUACACAGAAUUCAAGUCGAACCCGACUGUUUAGUCGUCAAACAAGUGUCUUACCAUAACUGCCGGUGAACUUGAACGAAUAGAAGUAGGUGAAUUUAGCCAAAUCAAUGAAUCGUUUUUAUAUUUAUUCCAUGCUGGACGUAAUAUAAUUUGAUAUAUUUUUACUUUUAACUGGGGAAGCGUCACAUAUCAAUUUUGUGCACGAGAAACGUCAUAUGGACUUUUUCUUGAGACCCCCAAUCUUAGAAACGUCACGCACUGUUUUCGACUCUGCCGAGGCCCCUACGAACUGCAUGCGCUUCAUCAUACGUCUCCAUAUAUAAAUUGUUCUCAAAUUGGUUUCAACAGGAUUCUUUAUCAGGGAACAAUUUGAGAAAGUUUAAAUUUAUUAAAUAAUUUAUUCGUCUUCAAGAUGAAGUUUUCGCCAUGAAUUCUAUUUUAAGCUCUAAUAAUAUGAAGUAUUUGAAAUAUAACGGAGUAGCGAUGGUAACACAGUUUUUUUCGUAUGAUUUUUCAGUAAAGUUGUUAACACAAAAUCGAUAUAUGACGCUUCCCUAAAACUAAUACGAAUAUUCAAAAUGGCGCGAGCACCAUAUUUGAAACUUAUAAUCUUACGAGUACUAGUCGGGUCCCAUAGAGAAUAUAAAAUGGAAAAAAGAGUAAAAAAAUUUGUUGAAACUCCGAAGGAAACCACUUGAAUAAGGGUAGCUUUUAUCGGGAAUUUUAAACUGGACCUUUUUAAUAAACAGCUAACAAUGCUUGCAGUUCUCAAUAUCAUGAACAGAUAUGUAUUCAAAAUACUUGUAUAAAAUAUAUAUUAAUCGCGGUAAUAUAACAAGGUUUUUGACUUGAAUGAACUUUUAAUUAAUAACUUGAAUGAAAUUUUAAUGUUUUUAGUUCGUUUGGAUUUAGAAAUUUAAAUGACCCUACGAAUGAAUUUUGAAAAAUUCAUUUAUAGGUUCAUUAAACGAAACACCUUGUUAUUACUUAAUUACUUUAUUACUUAUUAAACCUUAUUUUUGCAUUAAUUAAUAACAAUAUGCAAAUAUGUAGGAAAUGUUCUUUAAUUUUAUCUUUUCGAAAUUUCUUGUUGAAAUAUACUGUAUAUUUUAGUAAUUGAACAGCAUUAUUUGAUAUUCAAUGAGCAAUUUUGUAGAAGGUAAAAAAAUUAGGUUGGAACCUCGUUCUCAGGAUAUUGGCGAUGCAGGAUUGUUUUGUAACACAAUUUGACACAAACCAACCAAUCAAAGUCAAGAAAACAUUUCCCAUGUACUGCUAUUAUUAUUAUUUAUUAAUAUUAUUAUAUAUAGUAGUAAUAAUAUUUUUCGAGUUUUUUAGGUACGGACACUGUAUAUUAAAGUUUUACUACAUGGUAAAACCUAUGA